GAUGAAGAACGCAGCGAAAUGCGAUAAGUAAUGUGAAUUGCAGAAUUCAGUGAAUCAUCGAAUCUUUGAACGCACAUUGCGCCCCCUGGUAUUCCGGGGGGCAUGCCUGUCCGAGCGUCAUUACAACCCUCAAGCUCAGCUUGGUGUUGGGCCCCGCCGCCCCGGCGGGCCCUAAAGUCAGUGGCGGUGCCGUCCGGCUCCGAGCGUAGUAAUUCUUCUCGCUCUGGAGGUCCGGUCGUGUGCUCGCCAGCAACCCCCAAUUUUUUUCAGGUUGACCUCGGAUCAAGUAGGGAUACCCGCUGAACUUAAGCAUAUCAAUAAGCGGAGGA
This 329-nucleotide unclassified non-coding RNA is filed under the name soil metagenome. RNAcentral's name for it is "partial contains 5.8S ribosomal RNA, internal transcribed spacer 2, and large subunit ribosomal RNA". The stretch from base 1 to 120 matches the Rfam family "5.8S ribosomal RNA", at positions 35 to 154 of the family's 154-position model. The record is from RNAcentral.